This 668-nucleotide ribosomal RNA is filed under the name uncultured bacterium. RNAcentral describes it as "bacterial SSU rRNA". It matches the Rfam family "Bacterial small subunit ribosomal RNA", at positions 56 to 720 of the family's 1533-position model. The record is from RNAcentral.
UGCAGUCGAGCGGUAGAGAGAAGCUUGCUUCUCUUGAGAGCGGCGGACGGGUGAGUAAUGCCUAGGAAUCUGCCUGGUAGUGGGGGAUAACGUCCGGAAACGGACGCUAAUACCGCAUACGUCCUACGGGAGAAAGCAGGGGACCUUCGGGCCUUGCGCUAUCAGAUGAGCCUAGGUCGGAUUAGCUAGUUGGUGGGGUAAUGGCUCACCAAGGCGACGAUCCGUAACUGGUCUGAGAGGAUGAUCAGUCACACUGGAACUGAGACACGGUCCAGACUCCUACGGGAGGCAGCAGUGGGGAAUAUUGGACAAUGGGCGAAAGCCUGAUCCAGCCAUGCCGCGUGUGUGAAGAAGGUCUUCGGAUUGUAAAGCACUUUAAGUUGGGAGGAAGGGCAGUAAAUUAAUACUUUGCUGUUUUGACGUUACCGACAGAAUAAGCACCGGCUAACUCUGUGCCAGCAGCCGCGGUAAUACAGAGGGUGCAAGCGUUAAUCGGAAUUACUGGGCGUAAAGCGCGCGUAGGUGGUUCGUUAAGUUGGAUGUGAAAUCCCCGGGCUCAACCUGGGAACUGCAUUCAAAACUGACGAGCUAGAGUAUGGUAGAGGGUGGUGGAAUUUCCUGUGUAGCGGUGAAAUGCGUAGAUAUAGGAAGGAACACCAGUGGCGAAG